AGGCCCAAGAUUUCACCAACGCUGUUUCUUCACGGUGAGCGUGCCUCUAACCUCAGCAUAUCAUCGCGUUCCUUUUAAGUUCUGUGACGCGUCAACGACGCCGCCACUUGUAGCAACCAAG
Long non-coding RNA from Schistocerca gregaria, 121 nucleotides. RefSeq lists it as uncharacterized. NCBI's taxonomy places the organism in Eukaryota, Metazoa, Arthropoda, Insecta, Orthoptera, Acrididae. The transcript has 3 exons. The record is from RefSeq and is a predicted model, not a curated record.